Molecule: long non-coding RNA, 637 nt
Organism: Myodes glareolus (Bank vole)
Lineage: Eukaryota; Metazoa; Chordata; Mammalia; Rodentia; Cricetidae
Source: RefSeq, a predicted model, not a curated record
GAGGGGAGGGGCGUAGACGGGGCGGGUGGGGGGCGGGCACUCGGGGACCUCCCCUCGGGGGCGCCGCCGCGCGGCCACUGCACCUGUCGCUCGGGGACUGAGAGCUCGCAGGGGUGCAGGGACGCGCCAGGGAAGCGGCACCUCCUAGCUCCGGCCACAACCAGGCUCCGCCCACCUAGGGCCACCAGACUCGGACCUGCUUCCUCCCACCUGGCCGGACUAGCAGCAGGGCCUCUUAAGGAAACCCGGGCCUCCAGGGACGUGGCGACUCUGGGACUCAGACAACCAGGCGGAUGGGGGAGGGAGACUGUAAUUGUGAUCCAGCCGGACCUUAGACCCGGGAUCGAUGCGAUACCGCCUGGACAGUGGACAGUUCUCACCCACUCCUCUGCAGCCGCCACCAAAGCCGGGUGCUGUUUCCUGUCCCUCCUGUUGGGAACAAUUUGAGGAACCAAAUUGCGGGGCUGUGAGAACGAGACGCUUCCAGGCGUUCUUCACAACUCUGUCCGGUACUCGCUGGAGCACAGAGCGCAAGAUGGAAGGUGGGGAGACGUUCAGGGUUCCUGGUCAAGAUGGCCUCAGUGGUGCCACCUGUGUUUCAAAACAAAACAAGGGAAGAGCUUUGAUGGAUGAUGGA